GGUGGAGAUGAUGAACGAUGGGAUGCAAGAGCUCUUCUUGGAAUUUCUGGGGUCUACUAAAAGUAUGUUCCCUAUUCCUGAUCUAGAUAUAGUGUAAGCAACUCUGACGGAAAUUAUGAAUCCCUUCUAUUGAGGCACUUUGUUUUUGGUUCUGUAGGGAUUUCUCCAUACUGCAUUUGUUGUAUCGUAAGCACAGCAAGCCCCCUCUAAUAAUCUUCAUCAUUAUUACACAAAAAUAGGCAAGGAGCUAACACAAGGGGAGUCAUGAUGUUCCAAAUAGACUGUCUCUGAUCUCUCUUUGACGUUCAACCAGGGUAGCACAAACAAGAGAAGACUAUAAACAAUGCAAGGUUUUGCACUCUUGAUCUAUGUUAUCUCUUAUAGAACGAAUUCACUGUAGGUCACUACAAGGUUUCUGGGACUAUUGUACCUAAACAUUUAUUUCUUAAUACUUUGAAAAACUCAAA
RNAcentral lists this long non-coding RNA (467 nucleotides) under Triticum aestivum (bread wheat). RNAcentral describes it as "long non-coding RNA (TAES_LNC027790)". The record is from RNAcentral. Lineage: Eukaryota; Viridiplantae; Streptophyta; Magnoliopsida; Poales; Poaceae.